RNAcentral lists this ribosomal RNA (849 nucleotides) under Lecanographa cf. farinosa Ertz 14042. RNAcentral describes it as "LSU rRNA". It matches the Rfam family "Eukaryotic large subunit ribosomal RNA", at positions 72 to 943 of the family's 3401-position model. Lineage: Eukaryota; Fungi; Ascomycota; Arthoniomycetes; Arthoniales; Lecanographaceae. The record is from RNAcentral. RNAcentral also lists the same sequence under 1 other name.
GGAUUGCCUCAGUAACGGCGAGUGAAGCGGCAACAGCUCAAAUUUAGAAUCUGGCCCCUCCGGGGUCCGAGUUGUAAUUUGCAGAGGAUGCUUCGGCGUCGGCCCCGGGUCAAGUCCCUUGGAACAGGGCGUCCUAGAGGGUGAGAGCCCCGUACGCCCGGGCCGCCUUCGCCGUGUGAAGCUCCUUCGACGAGUCGAGUUGUUUGGGAAUGCAGCUCUAAGAGGGAGGUAAAUUUCUUCUAAAGCUAAAUACCGGCCAGAGACCGAUAGCGCACAAGUAGAGUGAUCGAAAGAUGAAAAGCACUUUGGAAAGAGAGUUAAAAAGCACGUGAAAUUGUUGAAAGGGAAGCUCUUGCCGCCAGACUUGCCGCGGUUGCUCAGCCGCCCUUCCGGGCGGCGUACUCUUCCGCCGGCAGGCCAGCGUCAGCUCGGGCGGCCGGAAAAAGGCCCUGGGAAUGUAGCCCUCCUCGGGGGGUGUUAUAGCCCGGGGUGCAAUGCGGUCAGCCCGGGUUGAGGCACGCGUUCGCUAGGACGCUGGCGUAAUGGCUGCAAGCGACCCGUCUUGAAACACGGACCAAGGAGUCUAACAUCUGUGCGAGUGUUUGGGUGCCAAACCCGUGCGCGUAAUGAAAGUGAACGGAGGUGGGAACCCCCGAGGGUGCACCAUCGACCGAUCCUGAUGUCUUCGGAUGGAUUUGAGUAAGAGCAUAGCUGUUGGGACCCGAAAGAUGGUGAACUAUGCCUGAAUAGGGUGAAGCCAGAGGAAACUCUGGUGGAGGCUCGCAGCGGUUCUGACGUGCAAAUCGAUCGUCAAAUUUGGGUAUAGGGGCGAAAGACUAAUCGAACCAU